UAGCUCAGUUGGAUAGAGCAACGGCCUUCUAAGCCGUAGGUCACAGGUUCGAAUCCUGU
This 59-nucleotide transfer RNA is filed under the name Proteus sp. HMSC14B05. Its description in RNAcentral is "tRNA-Arg". It matches the Rfam family "tRNA", at positions 8 to 63 of the family's 71-position model. Rfam says of the family: Transfer RNA (tRNA) molecules are approximately 80 nucleotides in length. Their secondary structure includes four short double-helical elements and three loops (D, anti-codon, and T loops). Further hydrogen bonds mediate the characteristic L-shaped molecular structure. tRNAs have two regions of fundamental functional importance: the anti-codon, which is responsible for specific mRNA codon recognition, and the 3' end, to which the tRNAs corresponding amino acid is attached (by aminoacyl-tRNA synthetases). tRNAs cope with the degeneracy of the genetic code in two manners: having more than one tRNA (with a specific anti-codon) for a particular amino acid; and 'wobble' base-pairing, i.e. permitting non-standard base-pairing at the 3rd anti-codon position. The record is from RNAcentral. Lineage: Bacteria; Pseudomonadati; Pseudomonadota; Gammaproteobacteria; Enterobacterales; Morganellaceae.